UACGUAGGGUGCAAGCGUUGUCCGGAAUUAUUGGGCGUAAAGGGCACGUAGGCGGCUUUAUAAGUCGGGGGUGAAAGCCUGUGGCUCAACCACAGAAUUGCCUUCGAUACUGUAUGGCUUGAGGACUGGAGAGGAGACUGGAAUUCAUGGUGUAGCAGUGAAAUGCGUAGAGAUCAUGAGGAAGACCAGUGGCGAAGGCGGGUCUCUGGACAGUUCCUGACACUGAGGCACGAAGGCCAGGGGAGCAAACGGG
This 253-nucleotide ribosomal RNA is filed under the name uncultured bacterium. RNAcentral's name for it is "partial 16S ribosomal RNA". It matches the Rfam family "Bacterial small subunit ribosomal RNA", at positions 524 to 776 of the family's 1533-position model. The record is from RNAcentral.